UUGAUUUUUUGCUGUUACAGACCACAUAACUCAGAUGAGCUAGGUGUUGAAGACUGCUGAACCGGAGAGAGGUGAUCACUACGACGGCUUCGACUUUCCUCCUUUGUUUGUUCCCAAGCCGAGGUGAGAAAGCAAAGUAGCUUCUUUUUGGUGCUCAUUGUCCAGUACAUUAGCGAAUACACACUAACUCCAUAGUAUGUUGCUCCUUAUUGGUCAUUGUCGAGUAGGCCGCCUCCUCUGCUGCUGGUCUUCACAUUAACUAUUAGAGUAGCUCGUUAUGUCUACAAGCUUGACGAUGGAAGCGAGCAAGUUGUUGCCUUCGGCAUUGGCUGAUGAGGUAACACAUGCAGCACCACAACUUGAUGUGGCUGUCACUCCAACAAGGCACAUGAUCACUAUGCCAGCGAGUCUCCAAGGACGUCCCAAUCCAGUGACAAGAAGGAUGUUGGCCAUGGCAUAGGCUGAUGAGGCGUCGCAGAAACCUACCCCAACCGUGGAGGACACCAUUGUUGAGUAACGUGAUUGUAUUAGGAAACAUAGGUUAGACUAGGAAAUAUUCUGGCUUGCCUUGUACUCCAAGUAGAUCAUGUACUCCUAUAUAUAUGCUCAUGAGGCUCAAGCAAUACAAUGAACUAUUCCACCAAUCCCUCUCUCCCUUCUAACAUGGUAUCUAUCGCAAGUCGAUCAUAAACCCUAGCCGCCGCCGCUUCCGCACCCGCGCGUCGCCCCCGGGGCGGUCGACCUCCAUGACCGCCGCCGGGGGCCGCGCCGCCCGUACCUAGGGUUCGUCUACCCCCUUCGUCUUCGUCCAAGCACCAGCCCGUCGCCAGCGUCGCCGUCAUCUACCCCAACCACUUCGUCUACUCCGACCACCGUUGGUGACAUCGGCCCCGCGCCGAUGGACGCCGCAAUCGUCGUCGAGUUCUUCUCUGCUGGCCCCUCCGACUUCUCCGACAUGGCGUACAGCUCGUGCAGGUCCCUCGUUUACGCAUGCCCGGUGCUGGCAACACCGAUGCGUGCCUUCAUCCACGACGUGUCCCCGGGCCUGGCAAGCCUGGUCGGCGCUUCGUCAACUUCGUCUUUGUCCGUCUACGCAUGCCCGGUGCUGGCAACACUGGUGUGUGCCUUCGUCCACGAUGUGUCCCCGGGCUUGGCAAGCCCGCCGCGACGCGUCGUCAACAACAUCUUCUUCCCGGCGCACCACUACUUCGACACCACUGCGCCUAUGACUAACUCGGCGCCUCCUUGCGCCUGCGGCUCCACGGCGACUUCCUCGACACCGGCCACCCCGACUCGACAUCGACCACGGCAUUCUUCGCACGGCUACCUCGACCACGGCUCCACCACACACGCUCUCGGCUACAUCGACAAACGGCACAAAGGGCUACCGCCUGCUUGAGCAACCUCGUUGGUUUCCACUCCAGCCACGACUCCGCGAUGCAUCGACCGUUACGACUGUGGGGGGUGUCCGUCGGCUUGCCUUCGGAUUCUUCUCCAGUCUCACCGUCUGCAUCGCUACCGUUGUGACUGCGGGGGGAUGUUGAGUAACGUGAUUGUAUUAGGAAACAUAGGUUAGACUAGGAAAUAUUCUGGCUUGCCUUGUACUCCAAGUAGAUCAUGUACUCCUAUAUAUAUGUCCAUGAGGCUCAAGCAAUACAAUGAACUAUUCCACCAAUCCCUCUCUCCCUUCUAACAACCAUGAUAGCAUAUGACAUGGCCUCAAGCUCAAAAGCUAGAAUGUCGACCCCGAAGAGAAGGAAGUACUAGUGUUGUGCUUGAUCUUCUCUAUAGUUUUGGUUGUAAUAUGACAAACUUAGCAUCCUUUACUUUGGAUAUAACGUGCCAGCAGCUAUUGUUUGUAACAUGGCAACUACUGUGGCCUUGUGCUUUUGUUUGUAAAACAUGACAGCAAUUAUGGCCUUAUGGUAGAUGGUAUAUAAACAUGUUAAAUGCUUUAUUUUGCUAUAUUAUCUUCAUAUUCUGUCCUGGUGUAUGAAUAUGUCCAUCUGAAAAUAUAUGUUUGAAUUUGGAUGUUGUGCGCAUACAUGUCUUCAAAAGUGAAAAAACAGCCAAAAUGCUGUCCAAAUUGAUCCAAAAUGCUGCCCAAAUUUUGAACAAUUUUUUUGAACCACCUAGAAAAAUUUCAAAGAAUUACAGAAAAUCAUUCAUAUAUGUGUAACUAAUCUGGAAAAGUUCCAUGCAAUUUCGAUCAUCGGUUCAACGGCAAAAUGCAUUUUAACUUUGAGUUUAACUAGUUUAAUCAUAUUUUGGCCGAAAUUUGAAAGUUGUCAGAAAAGUUUCAAAUAAUUUCAAAAAAUCAUUCAUAUAUGUACGACUAGUCUGGGAAAGUUUCAUGCAAUUUGGAUCAUUGGUUCAACGGCAAAAUGCAUUUUGGACUUUGAGCUUAACUAGUUUGACCAUCUUUUGACCGAAAUUUAAAAGUUGUCAGAAAAAAUUCAAAAAAUUACAGUAAAUCAUUCAUAUAUGUGUGACUAAUCUGGGAAGGUUUCACGCAAUUUGGAUCAUUGGUUCAACGGCUCUAUGCAUUUCAGUUUUGACCUUAUGGAGAUGUAUAAUGGAGCUCAUGGGAGCAGCAGGGGCAGCCCGCGUACGUGAGGCAGCAGGAGGUGUCGGGGAAGCUUUUGAGGCAGCAGAGGGCGAAGGCCGCAGGGCAGCAGGAAGGCCCGGCGGGGGAGCAGCAGGGUACACCGGCGGCGGCUGUGGUUAUGUGCAGGGGUUGAUGCACUGAUUUGGAUGGGAAUGGCUAAGGAUGUGCUCUGUUUAGGUCAAACAGGUACAAGGGUACAAUGGUCCUGUAUUUCUUGUACUUAGUUUGUCUAUUAUUUUCAUAAAUUGUUUUUGUGUUGAAAAGUGGCAAAAGAUCAAAGUCCAAAGAAAUAAGUGUCAUCAGAUCAAUUACAAUGUAACUAGUGGCAAAAUGUCAAAGUCCAAAGUAAAGGGUGGCAAAAAAUCAAAUCGCCCCACACAAAGA
RNAcentral lists this long non-coding RNA (2992 nucleotides) under Triticum aestivum (bread wheat). Its description in RNAcentral is "long non-coding RNA (TAES_LNC006105)". The record is from RNAcentral. Lineage: Eukaryota; Viridiplantae; Streptophyta; Magnoliopsida; Poales; Poaceae.